Molecule: ribosomal RNA, 253 nt
Filed under: uncultured bacterium
Lineage: Bacteria
Description: partial 16S ribosomal RNA
Rfam family: Bacterial small subunit ribosomal RNA
Source: RNAcentral
UACGAAGGGGGCUAGCGUUGCUCGGAAUCACUGGGCGUAAAGCGCACGUAGGCGGAUUGUUAAGUCAGGGGUGAAAUCCUGGAGCUCAACUCCAGAACUGCCUUUGAUACUGGCGAUCUCGAGUUCGGGAGAGGUGAGUGGACCUGCGAGUGUAGAGGUGAAAUUCGUAGAUAUUCGCAAGAACACCAGUGGCGAAGGCGGCUCACUGGCCCGAUACUGACGCUGAGGUGCGAAAGCGUGGGGAGCAAACAGG